CGUCAUAUAUUAUCCACUAACAAAGUUACUUGGUGCCAUCAAGCACUAUAACCUUGAUUUGUAGGAUGCCAUUGCCCUGCAUCAUGGCCGCUGCACGCAGCAUUACAAGCUUCUUCCAUCGAGGUGUGGGACACCCCUGCAUUGCAGAUAUUGGCAAAUGUACGCAUGUGUUUCAUGCCAUACUGUGUCAACGAACCACAGCAUGUUUCAAAUACACGAACCUGAGGUUUCAAUUUCAUAUUUCUGGUUAUUGAUCGUCGAUCGAAAGAAGAACAUUAAAACAACGCAAGAAGAAUGGAUUAAUAGAUACUUUACCAUUGAUUUUAAGCAGCCCCAGUCAUCUACGAGAGGCGACCCAGGUUCUCUGACAGAUUUAAGAAUGGCAGAAGCUUUUUUGGGUCCAAACAACAGAUCUCCAAUUAAUUGCAUGCUACUAUCUAAAUGGCUCCUAUGCUUUAUUGCAUCUUUUAUCUGCUGAAGGAUUUCUUUCUUCUUCUCCGACCCAUUUUCUGAUCUCUUGUACUGCCAGGAACAGAACAAACUACAAAUUACAACUUGCAUUAUAUGUUUUUAGCUUCAAUUCUAAUAAUCAAAGAGGAAAUAACUUGGAACUCUAAAUGACUACGCGAAUCGUUUUCUGUCAAUUUUAAGAGGACAUAGCUCUCACCAGCUGCCACAUAAAGUGAAGCUCUGCAUCUCUUUGGUUAACAACUUCCAUAGGUGCAUUUAGAUGGGCAUUAUUUGGAGGGAAGUUCACACUUGCAGGGUCAAAACCUUGGAACAAAUAGAGCUUAUCUGCUUUGAUGCUUUGGUUGCCAUAUUGCAUAACAUGAGAUCCAGCAG
RNAcentral lists this long non-coding RNA (843 nucleotides) under Ricinus communis (castor bean). Its description in RNAcentral is "long non-coding RNA (RCOM_LNC000023)". Lineage: Eukaryota; Viridiplantae; Streptophyta; Magnoliopsida; Malpighiales; Euphorbiaceae. The record is from RNAcentral.